AUGCAUAGCCGACCUGAGAGGGUGAUCGGCCACACUGGAAAUGAGACACGGUCCAGACUCCUACGGGAGGCAGCAGUAGGGAAUCUUCCGCAAUGGGCGAAAGCCUGACGGAGCAACGCCGCGUGAGUGAUGAAGGUCUUCGGAUCGUAAAACUCUGUUAUUAGGGAAGAACAUAUGUGUAAGUAACUGUGCACAUCUUGACGGUACCUAAUCAGAAAGCCACGGCUAACUACGUGCCAGCAGCCGCGGUAAUACGUAGGUGGCAAGCGUUAUCUGGAAUUAUUGGGCGUAAAGCGCGCGUAGGCGGUUUUUUAAGUCUGAUGUGAAAGCCCACGGCUCAACCGUGGAGGGUCAUUGGAAACUGGAAAACUUGAGUGCAGAAGAGGAAAGUGGAAUUCCAUGUGUAGCGGUGAAAUGCGCAGAGAUAUGGAGGAACACCAGUGGCGAAGGCGACUUUCUGGUCUGUAACUGACGCUGAUGUGCGAAAGCGUGGGGAUCAAACAGGAUUAGAUACCCUGGUAGUCCACGCCGUAAACGAUGAGUGCUAAGUGUUAGGGGGUUUCCGCCCCUUAGUGCUGCAGCUAACGCAUUAAGCACUCCGCCUGGGGAGUACGACCGCAAGGUGAAACUCAAAGGAAUUGACGGC
RNAcentral lists this ribosomal RNA (646 nucleotides) under uncultured bacterium. Its description in RNAcentral is "bacterial SSU rRNA". It matches the Rfam family "Bacterial small subunit ribosomal RNA", at positions 279 to 917 of the family's 1533-position model. The record is from RNAcentral.